RNAcentral lists this long non-coding RNA (2111 nucleotides) under Mus musculus (house mouse). Its description in RNAcentral is "long non-coding RNA chr5:72976717-72978828". Lineage: Eukaryota; Metazoa; Chordata; Mammalia; Rodentia; Muridae. The record is from RNAcentral.
UUGCAUCAACAUCACAGACUUGUGUGUACUUGUUUUUGAUUGCCAGAAGGGCUCACUGUCAGUUACAGUCUUUCUAACUGUCUAGUUCCUGGCUCAGGAAAGACGGCCUUUGCUGUUGAAGCCACCUUACUCACAUGCUGUUUCUGUCACACAACUAAAAGAUCUCGUUUCCAUUCCCAGGUUUCUAUGAUAUGAUGUGUCUUUGUUCUUGACAAAAUAACACCUCAGCACUUACAACCUGGAAUAAAACCAUGUCACAGGAGGAGGGGAAAUCUAUGCACUGAACUAUAAAAUCUCUGGUGAUGACAGUUGUAUUGUUGCUCGUGAUCGGCAGAAUGCUCUAUUAUGUGGGAGUCGAUCCACUUUAAACUGAAUUACUGUAUGAAGUAUCUUUUUAAAAUACUGUCCCCUUUAACUUAGAUUCUGCCUUACAUCAGCGUUUUCAUGGUUUGUAACAAGUCAUCCGACUCUACUUUGCUGAGUACUUGCUUUCUAAUGGCAUAUGUGUGUAUAUACCCCUUGAAAUCAGCUGGUUUAUUUCUAUCGGAUUAUUAGCAAACUAUAACUCUAGCUGACUUCUCAUUUUUUAUAAUGAGGUCUGUUUUUUAAAUACUUAAUCUAGACAGUUUUAAAUAUUGGCAGUUGGGUCACAUAAAGGUGGGGAUUUGAACUCAUUUCCUGUAAGUAGAGGUGUUCUGUAAGGUGCAAGUAGAAAUGCAGAGAGAAAGGGAAGGAAAGUUUCCCGCUCAGGAAAGCAUGAGUUAAUAACAGAGACCCAGUCUGCCACUGCUGACGCUGGACCAGCAGCAGGGAGACAUAGAGCUCGCUAGCACAAACAGCGCCAGUGCCAGUGCCGGAACUAGAGUGUAGAGUGAAAGACCUUGUGUCCUUGCAUUGGAAGGGAUGAGAGGGAAAGGAGGGGCUCACGGUUAUCCAUAAUGAUGAACUAAAAAACUGUUGUUUUUCCAAGAAAGAUGGAACGUAUACUUUGGUGCGGUGUGUCUCAUAAAUGACAAAGGAGUAGCCGCUGUCUCUGUAGAGUCACAUGUGCACACAGCAAGCAGGUCUCUGUUCAGUGUAACAGUUGAAAAGAAAUAAUAAAUGCUGCAAUCUAAUAAUUUAAAAGAACUUUAAUGAACCAUCUAUUACAUUUUUUAAGUUAGAUAAUCAGUUUCAAAAGGAAUAUUCAGGUUAUUUAACAUUGUUUUUAAAUGGCUGUAUCAGAAAAAAUAUCUAUUUUUUUUUAAUUAAACUAUUUCAUCACUUGUUUAAAAAUGUAUUUUGGAUCUGAGUUUGGUGAUAUUAUUUCAGCUGCUGCUGUACUACCACAGAUUAUUGGCUUUUAGUUUCCUAAAGAGAAAAAUUGCCUUCUUACUAGAAAGCCUUUGUGUAUUGCCGGUUUUUCUGUUUGGGAAAAUCUAAGGAUUUACUGUGGUUAGUAGUACAGAAGAAAUGUGGAUUUGAUGAACUAGUGCCUAUGAUUUUAACUUAUGUUUGAUAUAUAGUAGUAGGGUUAUAAAUGUUGAUUAUUUUGUGCCAACAGCCCAGAAUUGUCACUUGUAUGUCAGCAGAAGCUAUGACCUCUGCUUCCAAAGUUAUUUAAUUUUCUCAGUGUUUGGAUGUUAUUUUUUGUAAGUGUGUUAAUAAAAGUGUAAAGAAUUGGAAAAAUAUAAAUAUUCUUAACUCAAGCAUUUGCUGAAUCAUUUUUCUACAAAACUUGUUUGUAUAAAACUCUCUGAAGAGUUGACUUUUCUCAGUUUUCAUACCCUGGAAAUCACAUUUUGUAAAACUGGGGACCAUUCAUAAAUGUCAGAUACUUUUUUAAAUUAUCUCAGAACAUCACUUUUAUAUAUAGAUAUAAAAAAUUUUUUUGAAAGCAAAGAAGAUUAAAUACAUAUGUGGCCCAGAUGUUUGUAUACCUCUAGGAUGAUCUAGACUAUGUAUGUUCAGAUUGACGUAACUCACUGUACAGGUGUCCGGUUUUGACAGUAUGAUGCAUGGUCCUUUUAGAUCACAUGAAGUUUGAUUUGCAAACAUUUCUAUAGCUGAACUUGUAAUAUGUGGUUGCCUCCUUAAUAAACAGCCUGACCAUAAUGUUUAUUAUUAAAUCU